Molecule: ribosomal RNA, 167 nt
Filed under: uncultured Enterobacteriaceae bacterium
Lineage: Bacteria; Pseudomonadati; Pseudomonadota; Gammaproteobacteria; Enterobacterales; Enterobacteriaceae
Description: partial 16S ribosomal RNA
Rfam family: Bacterial small subunit ribosomal RNA
Source: RNAcentral
AGGUAUGGGCGCAGCCUGAUGCAGCCAUGCCGCGUGUAUGAAGAAGGCCUUCGGGUUGUAAAGUACUUUCAGCGGGGAGGAAGGGAGUAAAGUUAAUACCUUUGCUCAUUGACGUUACCCGCAGAAGAAGCACCGGCUAACUCCGUGCCAGCAGCCGCGGUAAUUGA